UGGCAAGGAUGCAAAGGAUGGGAAGCAAGGGAAGGACACCAAGGAGGGCAAGGAUGCAAAGGGAGGGGGAGAUGGCAAGGAUGCGAAAGAAGGGAACAAUGUUAAAGAUGAGAAAAGUUCUACUGCACCUACAUCUGCAACUACACCUACGCCUACUACAGCAGCAGCAGCUGCUCCCGAUAACCAACCUUCUUUGCCACUUAAAGAUGCUGCUGCCAAUGGUGCACCUGACUCAGCUAAAACAGAGACUCUUGUUGCUGCUGAGGUCGAGCAAUCUGCUGCAACUGAUCCAGCAGCCACUGAUUGAUGACACACCGCUCUUUUUAUUAUUAAUUUCUUGUCAUUCUUUGCAUAAUUUGUUUAAACCAUUUUUGCGAAGAAUAAGUGCAGCUCAGCUGGACGUUCUUAAGUCAGACCCGGGCUGUUGGACUUGCGAGCUUCUUCCCAACUACUAUAGGAUUUUCUAGGCUCUAUUGAAUUCUGUUCUUUUAUUUUUUCCCUCUCACUAUCAUACCUUCAAGUUCUAUAUCUGUGUUCCUAGGCAGAGCCAUUAGCAAUUGAAUAUAGUAGGUGAAAUGGAGGAUAAACAGGAAAGAGGACCAAGAAUGAGCCACCAGGGCCCAAAAUCAGAACCAAGACGAAAGCAAACAACAAAAACAAAGCCCAAGGCAGGUAACCAACAAGCAACAACUGAGAAACUAGUUGUGGAACCACUGAACUCAAAAUCUAUGCUAGUCACCUGAUAUGAUUGUUGUCAUCAAUUUUGUACAUAAAGAGCAGAUGGUCUACAUUCGGUAUAAGUUCUCUGCAUCGCCUGACAUUAAUUGUUGGCAUUAUUAUUAUUUAUGAAUUUAAUAAAAAAGAGAAUGUUAA
This 873-nucleotide unclassified non-coding RNA is filed under the name Hevea brasiliensis (rubber tree). Lineage: Eukaryota; Viridiplantae; Streptophyta; Magnoliopsida; Malpighiales; Euphorbiaceae. The record is from RNAcentral.